This is a transfer RNA of Cavia porcellus (domestic guinea pig), 64 nucleotides long. It matches the Rfam family "tRNA". From Rfam's summary of the family: Transfer RNA (tRNA) molecules are approximately 80 nucleotides in length. Their secondary structure includes four short double-helical elements and three loops (D, anti-codon, and T loops). NCBI's taxonomy places the organism in Eukaryota, Metazoa, Chordata, Mammalia, Rodentia, Caviidae. The record is from Rfam.
GGGGGUUUAGCUCAGUGGCAUAAGCACCUGCCUUGCAAGCAGGUGGUCGUGAGUUCGAUCCCCG